This 63-nucleotide transfer RNA is filed under the name Hebius vibakari ruthveni. Its description in RNAcentral is "tRNA-Tyr". Lineage: Eukaryota; Metazoa; Chordata; Lepidosauria; Squamata; Natricidae. The record is from RNAcentral.
GGUAGUAUGGCUGAUUUAAGCGGUAAUCUGUAAAAUUACACAUAGGGCGUUCCCUUUCUACCA